UCCCCGUUAUCCUGGGCAGUCCCUCCAGAGUUCCCGGCAUAACCCGUUGGCAACUGGAGGCAAGGGUUGCGCUCGUUGCGGGACUUAACCCAACACCUCACGGCACGAGCUGACGACAGCCAUGCAGCACCUGCACUAGCUCCCCUUUCGAGGUCAUUGCCGUUUCCGGUUCAUGUCAAGCCUUGGUAAGGUUCUUCGCGUUGCAUCGAAUUAAUCCGCAUGCUCCGCCGCUUGUGCGGGCCCCCGUCAAUUCCUUUGAGUUUCAGCCUUGCGGCCGUACUCCCCAGGCGGGGCACUUAAUGCGUUAGCUGCGACACCGAACCCGUCUAUAGGCCCGGCAUCUAGUGCCCAUCGUUUACGGCGUGGACUAC
RNAcentral lists this unclassified non-coding RNA (371 nucleotides) under uncultured bacterium. RNAcentral describes it as "contains 16S-23S intergenic spacer region". The record is from RNAcentral.